Molecule: long non-coding RNA, 381 nt
Filed under: Brassica napus (rape)
Lineage: Eukaryota; Viridiplantae; Streptophyta; Magnoliopsida; Brassicales; Brassicaceae
Description: long non-coding RNA (BNAP_LNC001410)
Source: RNAcentral
GAAACUAAAAGUUUAAUCGUCAUCCGGAUUGUUCACAAAUCGAUACCAUGUAAUAAUAGUUGACAAAUCGAUACCAUGAAUAAUAGUUGACAAAUCGAUACCAUGUAAUGAUAGUUGGUUAAACCAAAAAAAAAGUAAUAAUAGUUGAUGAUAUGAUCAUAAGAAGGAUGUAUGAAUGAAAUAACGGUGGAGAACUGGGGUUUUCGAGGAGAGAUCGAGGCCAAGGUCGAACAGACAACGAAACAAAGAUGAGAACACAUAAGAUUGCUCACUUUGACAAGCCUAGCAUCGAAUCGAACCACUCUUGAUCGUCUCCAUCUUCUGAUAUCCACCAUUUAUAAACCCAAUAUUAUUCUUAAAGAAAUUUUUUUUUUUUUUUUU